Molecule: long non-coding RNA, 2179 nt
Organism: Branchiostoma belcheri (Belcher's lancelet)
Lineage: Eukaryota; Metazoa; Chordata; Leptocardii; Amphioxiformes; Branchiostomatidae
Exons: 3
Source: RefSeq, a predicted model, not a curated record
ACAAGAAUGACAUAAGAAUUUGACAGCAUGCUGAGCAUGCCUACUGGCAGGCCAAACAAGGCAUUUCUCAAUCAAUGAACAGGCAGCAGCAGAAAAAGUCAAUAUUCCAAGGGGCACCUUUGAGGGAAUCUCUAGUUUCUGUACGAGUGUGAGUUUAGCAUAAUCACCAGCACCAAAAUCCUUAACCAUUUGUCAUAAUUACUGAUACCGGUAUGAUAAAAUUUCCCCAUAAAAGGUCUUAAAAAGAGGAAUACUGAGAAACUACGACAUUACUCUAUCACGAAAUUUUCACAUCAUGGAUCAAAGCAAAAUUUAAGCUUCAUUAAUGGCCGUGGGAUUCACCAAUUGCACCAGUGCUCGCUCCCCUUGCAUGUUAAGAGACGAUUCCGAUGCUCCGCCCUACCAGUCUGUAUUUCUCUCAUUACCAGGCAACGGCAAUGCUUCGCACGACCAAUUAGCAGAGCCGCCAACCACAACCCAACGUCAACCAGGAAAUGCAUACCAUUCCAAACAGCUCCGACCUAUUUCUCACUAUUCCUUGUCCACCCAAAAAGGUUAGCUACAUAUUAAACACCUCCAGUUUGUACAGAAAUUUCAGUUUUGAUAACCAGGUUUUUGCUGGUGCUGAAGCUAAUUCCCUCUGCGCUAUCCUAAUCAAUUAUUAAGUGUGGGCAAUUGCUACGGCUGCUGCAAAGGCCCAGUGGCUUUGAACAGUCGAGUUGGAACAAAGGAGACCAGCACAGAUGUGGGACAACAGUGGAUAUGUGGGGUAGAAUUCCUCCCUUUGCUGGGAACCUGGAGCAGCAAGAGGCUAUCCCAUGAGAAGAAGGAUCCCCGUGCCCAACUGGCAGGUUUCCUGACUCUGCCUGCAGAUAACACGGACUCUGAAAAAUAAUGAUGACUUCUGACCCUGGUGUCACGUACUAUGAAGUCUCGGGACUCGUCAUUAAACCCCCCGGAAUCGCAGCGCUGAGUCUGAUCGGCGCUGGGGCCGUUGGCGUGUUCCUCUUCAUUGCAGUCUUCAUGUACAUGUUUUUGAAAGAACAGAGAACUGUAUCUUCCAGGGUCAACACGCCAGCCCCACUGGCCACCAUAUCUGGAGGGCGAAUACACGAGAGGCUCCGAGAAGAGACAACAGACAGUUUUGAUGGAGCGGAACUUGUAUCACUGUCACCAUCUGAGAACAACCUGGUGAGAGCAGAGACAACCCACACUAUCGUGGCAGAGUGAGGAAGAUGCCCUGACAGAAAAUAUGGACAACCAAAUAUCAGUGCAAUACUUGGCAAUCUUUUCUACACUUAUUGUCUCUUGUAGACUAUGAGACACAUACUAUGGGAGUAUAUUGCUGCAAUAUUGAAACAUGGUAGUUGGUAAAAGGAGGAAUGUGAUUUUGUUCAGUUUCCUUCUAUGAUAUCUUUCGAGAAAGACUUUGAAAUAGUUACAAAAUUGAGAGAAGAGAAUUCAAGGUUGUUGUGUUAUGUUGCAAAUUCUUCCAAAUAUGUACAUAUCACAUACUUCUACCUAUUCAAUAUUCUAUAGAAAAUAAACUUGUUCAAGUUAUGCAUCCACUGUUAAUAUGAAAAAUGACAACAUAGCCUUAAAAUUGAAAUUAAAAGCAAAAUUUCUUGCGCAACAUUAGGCAAAUAAUUAUACAAAUAAAGCAAUGAACAGUAUAUCUAUAACAUGUAUAACAGAAGCUACAUUGACUUCUUUCACAAUAAUGUACCACAAUAUAAAGUUACCCAAUAGGGUAUCAUUUCACUAUGCAUGGUACUUAAGAUCAGUCUAGUUUGUUGCAGUGACCAGUUUUGUACAUAUCUACUCCCAGCUAUCAAAGUGAGAAGUCAGCACUAAAACAUACUGUUCCAUGAUAUCAAUAUGCUGGCAAGCACUAAGAGCACACAUCAAACCCUCCAGAAAUGUUCUGUGAAGUUCCGCUGCAUAGAUCUUAAAAGUUUGUAUUUGGACCAAUUUCUCACCAUGACAUUUGGUGUACUGUGAAGGUACUUUGGACACAUAUCACACAAUGACCCUUGUGAUCUAUCAUACGGCAACAAGAUGCUCUUCAAAACUUUUUUCAAAACAUAUUUCUGACUUUUCUAAUAACCAACCAAAUUGUUUGAGUUGAUACGUGAGUUUCGCAGGUAAUGUGAACUAUGCAACAUACAAUCAUGUACAA